This 1076-nucleotide long non-coding RNA is filed under the name Ictidomys tridecemlineatus (thirteen-lined ground squirrel). RNAcentral's name for it is "lncRNA (ENSSTOG00000032618.1)". The record is from RNAcentral. Lineage: Eukaryota; Metazoa; Chordata; Mammalia; Rodentia; Sciuridae.
AAACUUGAACAUGCCUCCAAAGAAGAGGUACUACUCACAAAGGGUUAAAAAUACUGGAAGUAGGAUGUGCUUCAACAGCAAUUAUCAGAACAGCUAAUUAAGCAAGAUGGUCUGAGCAGCAGGGUAAUGUGGCUGCUCUCCCUCCAACGGAAUCACUAUGCAGUGAAGAGAUGCAUUUUUUUUUUUUUUUCAACUCAGUCAUUACACUUGGUGUGACUUUGGGGCUAGAAAGAAAGAGAAACCCUUAAGUAACAACACAAGCCUAUGGGAAAAGAAGACAGGAUAAGGAGAAGUCAGAUUCAAGUUUUAUCCUCAGAGAAAAGCCUUGAACUCUGCCUUGGGAUUUUGACAUACACUCUGAUAGUUACAGUUCAUGCCAGAGAACUACUGUCAGCCUUCAGCCACAGGAAGGAAGAGAACACACAAAUCCUGAAGAUUAAGCCUCCCGACUUCCCUUGAGCAACUAUGAAAAAGAAAUUUAGCAGUUCAUGUGUCUCCAUGUAGAAGGUACCAGGGAAGAAAGUGGAUGCCUGAGCCAAAGGGUGUCUAGUGAGUGAGAAACAUGGCUGACCUUCUGAGGAGCCACAGUAUGGAGGCAGCAAGAGUGACCCUAAUCUCACCUUAACAGAGCUAUAAGACAAAGGGAGCCUCCCUGCUGUGAACAUGCUGACAGUUGUCCAAGAGGAGGCUGUAUCCACCCUUUCCUACUUUCUUCAACCCUGGAAGAGUGAGACAUAAGAGUCUGAGCCAGAUUGAUGUUCUGGGCAGACAUCACUAUUGUUCCACUCCAGGGAGUCAACGGUACAGCUCAAGCUUGGCUGGUGGGUGAUGGAAGAUGAUAUGAAGACAACAUAAAUUUCACCAUUGAACGUUCAAGCUGGACUGGCUCUUUAAUAUCCCCGGAUGACUGGAAAAUUACAAAAUAUGUCACCAUGCUUGUAAACAGGCAAAGAGGAAAUUCAACAUGGCAUGUUGGGCAGAAAUUUAAGAAAAUAAACCUUUUUAAAAAUUUUCUUGCACUUGUAACCCAUGUUUUGUAACUUAAAAAUUUCUAUAUGAAAACUCUGGUCUUAGGU